UUUCCUCUGAUUCUUGCUUACUCCUUCUGGAGUCACAGCCAUGGAACAUGGGACUGAGGCAGAGAAUGGAAUAAACUUGAAAAAUGAGGAGGGGUGAAUCCAGUUGACUGCAGGGCUUCUGGCUUCCCGGCAGGGACAUUCAAGUUUGGAGCCAGAGCUGACUUGGGAUGACAGAACAGGCCUUCUCAGCUCUGCAGCAGGGAUGUCCGAUAGAGACCAGACAGCUCCUACAAGUUUGCUGAAAAGAUAACUGAAGGAAGAUGAGGUAUAUGAACUCAUGCAACUUGGACCAUGUACUCCCAGCAGGGGCUUCAAUCAGGGCUUCCAAGAGUGAUAGGAAGUGAUAUCUCAACUCUCCUUUCUCAGGUAGGAACAGAAAAUGUUUAUCAGGUUUAGAUGUAAAGUUACUCACAGUUAACCUUUCUCCUAGGUCAUUCAUAUCACCCAGCGCCCCUGAUGUAUGGGUGGGACCCUUCUCUUACCCUUUCCUCCUUAUCUUAUCAGCUGCCCCUGUGGUAACACUGGCUUUUCUCCUCUUAGAGAUAAAUUCUUCCUUCUUUUGAAACACCUCCCUAUUCAUACAAUUCCUAUGAAUUCUUUAUAUGAAUACUUUCCUCAGGUUUUUUCAAGGAUAACAACCAAAUAAUUUUCAACCCCAGCACAAUCACCAACCCAUCUUUUCAGCAAUUAAACAAAUAUAUAUCUGUAUCUUUGACACUCAUCUAUAUUAAAUUACUUGCUGUCUUGACAACUGUCUGGAGAUCUGGACCCACAUCCAUUCGCCCCAAGUCAAGUGCUGUCCUGUAAGUAGAUAAUCUAAAAAUAGUUACUAAAAUAUUUAACGGCUAUCAUAUUAAAAACAUCUUGUCAUUUCAUUCAA
Molecule: long non-coding RNA, 880 nt
Filed under: Homo sapiens (human)
Lineage: Eukaryota; Metazoa; Chordata; Mammalia; Primates; Hominidae
Description: HSALNT0139693
Source: RNAcentral